UACGGGGGGGGCAAGCGUUGUUCGGAAUUACUGGGCGUAAAGGGCUCGUAGGUGGCCAACUAAGUCAGACGUGAAAUCCCUCAGCUUAACUGGGGAACUGCGUCCGAUACUGGAUGGCUUGAGUUCGGGAGAGGGAUGCGGAAUUCCAGGUGUAGCGGUGAAAUGCGUAGAUAUCUGGAGGAACACCGGUGGCGAAGGCGGCAUCCUGGACCGAUACUGACGCUGAGGAGCGAAAGCCAGGGGAGCAAACGGG
Molecule: ribosomal RNA, 253 nt
Filed under: uncultured bacterium
Lineage: Bacteria
Description: partial 16S ribosomal RNA
Rfam family: Bacterial small subunit ribosomal RNA
Source: RNAcentral